AGCAGCCGCGGUAAUUCCAGCUCCAAUAGCGUAUAUUAAAGUUGUUGCAGUUAAAAAGCUCGUAGUUGAAUUUCGGGAUUAGUAAGUUGGUCGUGCCUCUGGUAUGUACUGGCUUUACUGGUUCCUCCUUCUUGAAGAACUGUAAUGUCAUUAAUUUGGUGUUGCAGGGAAACAGGACUGUUACUUUGAAAAAAUUAGAGUGUUUAAAGCAGGCUAACGCUUGAAUACAUUAGCAUGGAAUAAUGAAAUAGGACGUUUGAUUCUAUUUUGUUGGUUUCUAGGAUUGACGUAAUGAUUAAUAGGGAUAGUUGGGGGCAUUAGUAUUCAAUUGUCAGAGGUGAAAUUCUUGGAUUUAUUGAAGACUAACUACUGCGAAAGCAUUUGCCAAGGAUGUUUUCAUUAAUCAAGAACGAAAGUUAGGGGAUCGAAGACGAUCAGAUACCGUCGUAGUCUUAACCAUAAACUAUGCCGACUAGGGAUCGGAUGAUGUUAAUUUUUUAAUGUACUCAUUCGGCGCCUU
RNAcentral lists this ribosomal RNA (520 nucleotides) under uncultured Glomeromycotina. RNAcentral's name for it is "SSU rRNA". It matches the Rfam family "Eukaryotic small subunit ribosomal RNA", at positions 569 to 1089 of the family's 1831-position model. The record is from RNAcentral. Lineage: Eukaryota; Fungi; Glomeromycota.